CGCGGCCCGGAGUCCCCAUUUUCCAAGUAGGUUCUGAUUUCCCGAGAGAUGGCAAAGGCCCUGGCAGGAAGUUUACACGGCCCAACGUAAACACGUUCUGGGGGAUUCUUUAAUAAUAAUAAUAGAGAAUUCCGCGUGCGCGGGGGGGAGUUGGCCUAAUGCCCCUGUGGGCUCGGCCUGCCGCCGCCGCGGGGCCUCCGACUGCGCACCCGGCCAGGUUCCGGAGAGCGGGCAGGGAGCGCGGGCCGAGGCUGCCCUCGCGCCCCUGGCUGCCGGCCUAAGGGCUCGCUCGCACGCACGCCUCCGCUCGUCACCCUCGCCUUGCCGGCGUGCGGACAGGGCCUGCGGCGGUGGGAAAUCUGGGAAAUCGGAGCGCAGCGCAGGACCGCGCGGGAGGCCGGCGGGACGCAGCGCGCACAGACCCCGGUGAGUGGCUGCGGCGCUGACGGUCGCGCGCCGGGCUUGGCCUCUCUGCCAGGGUCUCGGGUGGAGAGGAGGGCGGGGGUGUCUCCAGUCUCCACAGGUCGUCGCGAGGAGCCGCACGGCCGUGCCCCGGAGCCAGCUGGGGCGAGAGGCGUGUGCCGGGCUCUGAGCGGGACCUGCGGCUUCUUCAAAGCCCCGGACCGCAAGGGUUUCUCCCGACUCCGCGCUCCCCGCUGGCCUCCCUCUCCCUCUCCCGGCCCUUCGCCGCCCGCAGGGGACGCCUGGUCGCCUCGGGGCGCCAGGCCCGUCCCUGCCAGGAGCUGGGGGCUUAGCCUGCCCCGCUGUCGCCGCCUCUCCACGAAGAGCAGAGCUCCUGGGAGAGCAGAGCCUCCUUCCGCCCUGUGCUUUCGGCCAGGCCCCGCCGGCGGACACCUCGGGCGCGGAGGGAAGGUCCAGGGUAGGCCCUGGGCGCGGCGGUCUCGGGUAUUCUCGGACCCGGCCGCCGCACACAGCCGCCUCCGCGCCCUCCGCCCCUGCCUUUCCCGGAGCGCUGUGGCACCGCUCGGACCCCAGCCUGGGGCAUCACGCACCCUCGCUGGACGCCCUCGCGCACUCGCAUUCUCUUCCCGCUGUGUCCCCUCGCCCCCAGGGAGGGACGUCAGGGACGGAAUAGCUGAGUUUCCCCGAAAUGGAGUAACUUCCUUUCCUGUUCCUGCUCCUCCACUCGUGGGGACCCCCAGAGUGAGGGGAAUCUACUGAAGGCGAAAUUGGGGAGCCCUUUUCUAGCAGCCGCCUUCCCCUGUAGGCUCUGUCCGGUUUAGGGGUCUUGGGGUCCCAUCUUUGGCUCACCCAGAAUUCAGUUUUCCUGCCCCCCUUUGUCCUUCACAGGCUUCCCUGGGGGGGGAGGGGAGCUUCUUAGGUUUGGGGGCAGAGAGCUGUGCCUGUGGGUGGAAGUAUGGUGUGGGGGCCACGUUACUCACUCACUCAGGCCCCAGCAGCGAAGCAGACUCUGCCUGGACCCCAGGGCCUUGAGGUGUGGAGCUAGAGUCCCAGGGAUGCCCAGGGCCGGCGCUCGCCAAAUCCUGCUCUCUCCUGGGGUGGCAGAGGAGGUGGGAGCCUGAGAGGGGAGGGGGGAACCACAGCCACAGCCACGCAAGGAGACUUUUCUGUGAGGAGCCAAGUUCUUGGUUCUCCAGAUGCCAGAGAGGUUUCCCUUAACCAGACACUUUUGAGGUGAGGACACUGAGCCCCAGAGGGGACUUGGGCCUGGCCAGCCCAGCUCAGCUGGCGGGGUUGGGCUGCCAGUGACCUUCCCUCCAAGCCCUCCUCUCUCCAAGCACGGAGGGUGGUGGCCUCUCUUCCCCCUGCCUCCUUGUGGUCAGAGAGAGUGGGCUUUUGGAAGGCUUCAUCGGCGCACAGCCUGGCUUUCCAGCUCCAGGGGAAAGAGACUCAUGGGAAAACCGUGGUAUUAAGAUGGUUACCACAGGGCCAGGGGUGUAGCUGAGCGGCUCAGCGCCUGCCUGGCAAGCUCGAGGCCCUCAGAUCGAUUCCCGGUAUAAUAUAAAAUAAAAUAGUUAGACAACCACAGCCGCAGGACAGGAAGCAGGCUGCUCGGUGGCUCACUAUGUGGUACUGGGCGCAUCACUCCUUAGACGGGUCCCAAAGGGGCUUGAACCCCUUUGAUGAUGUGGGGAGUUUGAUAACUUGGGUGAUUACUGUCCUGCCUGCACCCACUCCCAAGGUGCAUAACCGUGACACCUCUGCGGGGGUUUUCUUUGAGGUCUUGCGGGAAGCAUGGAACUCAUUCGUAAACCUACACCCCACCCACAAGCACAGAAUUGUAACUGUCCCUCCACAGUUGUUUGAUCUCGCGGGAACUCCUCCAAGUCAGCACCCCCUCCCUUAGUGAUGGGGCUCAGGGGGGUUGCUCGAUCCUCCACGACCCUGCAGGGCCAGGACCCAAACUGGACCCCCCCACACACCAGGAUAAGGGCAGGGAGACCCUGCACAUCAGAUUCACAGGGUGGAUGGAGAUCCAGCCCCCCAACCCCGCGGGAUGCCACCUAAGCUGACUCUUUCUCUGAAAGUGGAACCCGUAAUGCUGCCCACUCUUAGGCUCAGGGGAGGGUGCAGCAGGGCAGGGAGCUGGGGGACCCUUUCAAAUGGGAGCGAGGCCUCAGGGGCUCAGCCUGCGAGAAAACACUGCCUUUAGCUUAAAAUCUGCAGACACCUCUCCCAUCCUAAGUCAAAGCUGUGUGCGCCCCCAUGCAGGCAGAGGAACCCCCAGAACUGGGGUGGGUGGGUAAGAGACAUGCCCGCGUCGCGUCCACUCCCCAGGCCCGAGGUAUUUUCACUGGCUAAUUGCUUAAGUGAAGCCGCCGGGCGCGAGCGCCGUAACCCGAGCUCCGAACCAGAUCCGGCUCUCGGUGUGCGCCGGCCGCCGACCACCCACCGCGAGGGCAGCCGCCCUGCCUGACGCCCCUGCUCCGCAUUAGCCCGCUUCGCCCCCCACCCCUGCUCCUCGCAGCCCCGCAAGCUUCGUCCCUUGGUAGGUAGGGUGGCCGGGCUGCACCAACGGGGUGCGGGGCAGUGGGGAAGUGGAGUCCUGGGGCUCUGGUAGGGACGGCAGCUUCGGUGCGGCCUGGGUCUAGGGGUGUGUGUUGGGCUUGGUACCCAGAACUGCAGGGGGAAGGUCAGGGUCGGGGGGAGGAGGGUGGCCUGCUUGGAUCACAGCUGACCUGCGUGCAGAGUCUGCAGGGGCUUGGACCUGCAGACUGGUGCCAAAACAGAACCCGGCUGCAGGGCAUCCCCCGGAAGCUGGGCGCAGAGAGGCUUCUGAGGACAGCAGAGAGCCAGCACAGGGGCUCCCUGUGUGUCGCCAUUUUAAGAUGUUCUGUUUAACGGUCUAACAGGCACUCGCAGAAACACCCCAGAAUACUAUGGCGCGCUGGGCACCGAGCAGUGUAAAUGAGCAUGCAAGGGGACAGUGCCGUGUGCAGUCAGGAUGGUCCAGGCAGCCCGCUGCUCAGGUUGGCGUAGUCUGAGUGUGCCACACAGCGUGUUCCGAGCUCCGCAGGCCCCGUUGUCACACGCAGAGGAUCAGAGGACAUGUGGAGACGUGUGCCAGUGCAGGGUGCCUCGUUAGGCCAAGGGGUCACAGGGGUGACACAGCAGCAUCAGCCGCAGCCGCAGGCAGAGGGAUCUGCAGGGCGAUGCGCGUCCCCCAGGUGUCAGGCACGCUUUCAGGGCGUGUGACACGGGGUGGACAUGGUGCAAGCGUGACAGCGGACCGGACUGUGGCCAAGGACACCUGCCAGCCCUUGCUAGGCAGGGUAGGGCCUCCCCACUCACAGAACUCCCACCCUGAUCCCGAAGGCAGGGUCUGCUUUGAUCUCGGGUUCCAAAACACAAUGACACACCUACUUUAUUUCUAUGGUGACAGAUGGGCCCCUGAGAGAUGGGGUCCUGCACGGUACAGAGAUGUGGGGACCCUGUUCGCCCCGUGUGAGCCCUGACAGGGGAUUCCCCUCUCCGUAGCUGCAGAAAGGAGGUGCACGAUAAGGGAGGUGUGCAGAGGGGGCCCGCAGUAUCGGCGCGGCAGGGAAAGCCCUCCUUUGGGAUGACCUGCAGUGUCCCUUGCUGCCUCUUUAAGCUCAAAGCAAGGCAGUCAGAGCAAGCCGGACUCCAAGCCCCAGACUGGGAGAAGGGCGGGGGAGGAGGAAAGCAGCCACCUGGGUCGCACCUAGUCCUGCAGCACCCCCAGGGCAAGGUGGGGCUCAGUAACCCCUGGCAGUGUGGGCGGCAGCGGUGACCAGGGCCGCCCCUGGACGCAGGCCCUGGUGUUCAUCUCCCAUCAGCUCCACCUUGGGAAGAGGCUCGGGGUUUAGUCACCGCUCCCCCCCGCCCCCAUGCUUGGCCGUCGCUGCAGCCGGCGCUUGCCCCUUCCACUUGGCCCUUUUACCCGAAAGCACACAUUUUCCAUGACGUUCUUCAAUGAAAUAUUUGACAACAGUGCAGCCCAGGAAUUUACAGCUCUUCCCUGCAAGAUGGCUGGGAGUUUUCUGGCAUUUGCAGUACACGAAGCUCCAAGAACCAGCCCACCGGAGGGACACCCGGCCUCCAGCCCCCUGGGUCUGGUGCAGCCCCUUCCCGUGGAUACAGCCCCCAGAACCCCCGCAUAUGUUUGUCUCUGCUGAGCGGUGUUCGAAUGGGAGACGACUUCCUUGCAGUGCAUGCUUGCCCGUGUGUGUGUGUUUGGGGGUGCUCAAGGGGCCCCUGAGCCAGUUUCUGAGCUGAUGAUCUGUGCUGAAGUAGAGCGAGCACAGAAAGGUGCUCAGAGAGGGACAGGAGGGCUGUGGCCCCGGGACAGGCCCCCAACCUGGGGAUGAAGAGAAGGGUCCCAGACUACCAGCCAAAAGGAAAACAUAAAUUCAAUGCCAAGGGGCCGUUGCUUAGUAUUUUUCAGAUAUGAGGGGCCCCAAGAGGGAGGGACUCACAUGACAAGGGAACAGGGUGGGGGAACACUGCCGCCCAGAUGGGGCUCUGAGCCCAAGCAGCCGUGUGUGCCCAGGACCCUGUCCAAGUGCCCACCUGAGUGCCAGCUCACAGGCUGCAGAUGAGAAGAACGGGUGUUCAGGGGGACACCAACUGCACACACCUGACUGCCCGGGUGGAGGGGCUUCCCUGCUCCGUGCAGCCUGCCCAGGCUGCUGGCAACAGGACUCCCUCUCCCCAUGCCCUCGCCAGUCUAGCCCGGGCCUUUUGUCCCAGCCAGGUUGUAGCUCUGUGGCUCUAGGGACCUGGGCGAGUUGUGCCUGGGCAGGCCUGGCCCUGUGCACACCCGGAGGAAGCCCCUCUGGAGUUCAGCCCACCCUUGGGCUAGGGUGAUAGGGUCCCAGGGGAGGAAGCGGGGUAGCCAAGCCUGGGAGGGGAGUCAGGCAGGUGCACCAGAAAGCAGACAGUGCUGGAGGGAGAGCCCACACCCGAGAUGAGAUGGGGAAUUUCAGGCAGCAGGCUGAGCGCCCCAGUGGAGUACGGCCCGUGUCCACAGGACAGGGUGGCAGGGCACGGCAGGGCCAGGCCCUGGGGACAAGGAGGCCCAUUAGAGCGGGCCCACCCCAGACCGAUGUAGCACCUGUCUCUCCUUAGCUCUGGCCUCAGGCAAGCGCUUCAGCCUCUAGCGCCUCAGUUUCCUCUUUGUGCACCAGGGGAACAGAGCCAACCUGGAACCAGAGGAGAGACACAGGGCUUGCGCUGCAGUUGUGAAGGGGCUGGCGGCCUUGUGGAUGAUGGCAUCGUAAAUUGAAAUCCAGACCAGGGGGGAAUUGUUAAACAAACACCUGCAAGUGAUGAGGAGCUUGGGCCCUGUCUGGUUCCACUCAGCUCCACGGCUGUGCGGCCCUGGACGGUGGUCUUACCUCUCUGAGCCUCCUGUUCCUCAACUGUAAAAGAAGGGCGAGGGUGGUACCUCUCUUGGGGUAGAUGACCCCACAGUUGCCCACUGUGGUUGUUAUUUAGAGUUUUGGGGGGCUGGAGGGUAAGAUGCGUACCUCCCUGAAUGUCUGGGAGCCCUGCUUGAGAACCGGUGGCCUGAAGACCAGCUGCCCUGACUCGGCCGGCCGAGGGCUCCGAGUGGCCAGGGGCCUCCCUGGGUCUGCCGAGAGUUCAGGGUGACACAGCAAGGACGUUCAGAGCUCUCUGGGGAGUGCCUCUGCCAGCUCCGUCCUGCCACCCUGCCUUCUGUUCUCCCUGGUCCCGGGGCAGCAGGGCGGCAUCUGCAGUGGGCUGCCCGCACGCAUGUUCGCCUGCUGUGUGCAUUCUGGCCGGCCUCUCUCGGAGCCCCUUUUCUCCUCUGUGAGAUGGACAGAAUUAUAGGGCCUCCACCCCCGGCUGCUGUGCAGACCAAAGGUGGCCAGCAUCCCCCUCGGAGAGCCCGGCACCUGCUGUGUGUGGCACCAUGUGGAGAACGUGCUGUCAUUCUUGGAUUUGAUGCUGAAUCCGCCUCACAGGCAGGAGAGCAAGGCACAGCUAGCCGGCCGGGUGUGGUGGGAGGACUCAUUUUAAGGGUGCAGACAGGAGGUGCCCCCAAUUCUGCUUAGGUGGCAGGGCAAGCUUAACAGCUCUUUGCACACCCUCCCGACCCCAGUUUCCACUGCACUUAAUAACAGAAUAACAGCCUCCAGCCAGGUCCGAGGGAGCAAGUGGGAGGCAGGAUCAGAAGCCUCCAGGAGCCCCCCGACUCCGCCCGCUUCCCGGCACUGCUCCCCACGGCCCAGUUUCUGAGAAAUGCCUGGGAGGCUGAGGGUGGAUGCCUGGAGCCUCCCACCCGACAGCUGCACCCUGGGUGGGGACAAAGCCCCUCCUCUGGUGCCCCUUCCCCAGGUCCCCAGAAGAGUCUGGCCCUGGCUCCUUUCCUGCCAGACCAGAGCAGACGGCCCUGAGCAAAGGGCGCCGGGCAGCCUCAGCUUAGGUCCCGGAGGGCAGCAGGGACCUCCCAGCCACCGCAGAAGCAGGCCCUGGGCGGUCCUCGGAGGGGCUCCUGACCGACAGGCACACUGCACCCUGGGGCCCCGAAAGCAGCCCUCACCCAGGGCAAGGAGCUCCUUGUAAUUUAGGAGGCCAAGGCAGGAGAAUCAAAGCUCCAGCCAGCCUGGCUAACUUGGCAGGAGCCUGCCUCGAAGUAAAAAUCAAAAGGGUGGGGAUGUAGCUCAGGGGCUGAGCGCACGGGUUCAAUCCCCAGGAAGGCACAAAGUAAGAAACUGCUACUAAUAAAACACGCCCGUCCCUUUCUGUGAUUAUUGUUUUUGUUUCUUGGUGUUCGUUCUCUCUCUUACAGCCCUCGGCUCUCGGCUCUCUAACUUCGUAGAAUUUAAAAAUCAAAUGAAGGCAAAAACAAGACAGCCAUUUAAACCUUCCGGUCCUUUUCUUAUGAAAUAUAUUUUCUCAGUGCUUGAACACACCACUUCUUUAGGCAAUCGGAUUGCUCUCAGAGUCUGGGCAGAUUUGCGUCUGAAGUGGGCUCGCUGGUCUACUCCUGUACCCCAGCACCCCCUUAACCCUCACAGCGGGCAUUUUUUUCUUUCCAGUGAGCCAUUAAUUACCUGCAAAAGCUCCGUGCCCAGCACUCGGAGAGGAUCGAGGCCGGCCGCUUUAGAAAGCACACACCUGGAAUUAUGUCCAAUUUUGUGUUGUGUCCCUAGGUCAGAGGCCCCUUCCUGGCGUUCUCCAUGCUGGUGGAGAAAGACUUCGCCCCUUCUGGUUGCACGCCAGCGUCCCCUCGGCCGGGUCACUGUUUCCCCCACCAAAUUGGGCUGAGACCCAUUUAAUUCGCCGUGAAAACUAACUUAAUUAGGAGCCGAGUGCGCUCUUGGGUGGGAGGCAGCAGGCUCUUCGCCCAUCUCCCUCGCUGCCCUCCGCUCUCCGCAUUUGCAAAGCCGCCCUUCCCCGCGAGGAGCCGGGCUGCCUGCCUCUCACUUUUCCUCAGGUUGCCGGUCUCAGGUGGAAUCUCAGGGGCUGGCUUUCGGCGGAGGCGGUGCCCUGAGCCCGUGGGAAGCAGAACCCGCUUCUUUCCGAGCCCCAGGCUCCUGGUGCCCCAAGUGCCUCUGGCCAGACUCCGCCUGCCGGUGACGGCCUGGACAGCUCCGGGUCCUACAGCCCGGGUGGCGACCGCUGCGCUGGUGUCGAGAUGCCACAGUCCUUUAACCCUGGUUCAGGCUAAUGACGGGUCCUGCCUGCGUGAAUGCCGUGUUUAUUUUACCUCCACCAGCUCAGGGGAGGGGGUGCACCCGGGCGCCCGGCAAGGGACGUGGAGCCACAGAAGCAGAGCCCGCUCUGCAGGCGAAGGGUCUGCGCAUCGCCUUCUCCCUCACCGGGCCGCCGCGGCGGAGAUCAAUGCGACUCAGCCUCGUGUCCUGGGGAGCCCAGAGCUGCAGCCCCGGAGCGUGCAGGACUCGGGGCGCCCAAGGCCCGCAGCCCUGGGAGGCGCCUUCUGGAAGUCAACUCCAUGCACUCUCCAGCCGCUCGCUUGGCUGUGGGGCACCCAGGGUGGAUUUCCAGGGGCAGGAAGCUGUGCAGAGUUCAUUGGUGGAAAGGAUGAAUUAAGAGAAAACCACUCAGAGGAACAGAAAGGCAUCCUAGGCAUUUGAGGCCAGGAGCAGAGCUGAGAGGGCUGUCUCCCUCUUUCAUUGUAUGGGCUGCCCCGACAAAGCACCGUACAUGGCCUGGGCGGCUUAUUCCCGACAGACGUGGAUUUCCUGUUCCAAGGCUGGGCGUCCAAGCUGGGGUGCACCCGGCGGCCUGUGCUCGCUCCCCACUGCCAUCUCCUCACAUGGUGCGCUUGCCCUGUGACCAGUUGGGGGCAUGGGCCUCUGGCCCCCUGCAGUCAUCCUUUCGGUGUCCAGCACAGCAACAACCACAGACAUGGCAGGAAGGCCUGUAGCCAGGAGAGGGGACCCCAGCGCACCCCAGGAGCUGCCCCGGAGCAGCCCGCUCCCCAUGACUGCGGCCACAGAGACCGUGAGAAGCAGCGAGAGACACUGCUGAGGCCACUGCAUUCUAGCGUGGUUUGUUAGGCAGCCAGAAGCAACCAGAAGAAACCGGGUUUAUGUUUUAAAAAUAAACAUUUUAUUGAAACAUCACAGGGAAGGGACAGGGAAGCCCCCCGCCAGGGCAGCAGGCCCAUCAGGACGCAGCGUGUGCCCCUGGACGGCCCCCGGGGUGACCCCGCAGCCCACAGAGUGGCCUGGCAGGCGCAGAGGGAGACACAGCUCCCGGGCCAGUGUAGGUCUGCUCGCCCCUCCCUGUGGUGCACUAGGUCCCGUGGUGGCUGCCCUGAGCCUGGGCUCCCUGGUCCUCCUGGCCCGGUUGUGCUCCACGACGCAGUGGACACAGCUGUUGUCCCUUCUGCUGCAGUCACUGAGACCACCUGUGUGGGGUGUUUCUGCCGGGGGCUCAGGCCCUCGCCUGUGCACACCCCAGUCAGGGCUCGGUGCCCUCACUGCUGCCUCUCUCCCAGGGCCCUCGACGCUGCCACUACUGCCUGCUGGUGGCCUGGGCAGCUGGGCCAGCUGCCAAGUGACGCUGGCUCCUUUGGUUCCGAGUCAUGGACUUUAGAAGGUAGUACCCUGAGCCACAUGGGCGCCCCGCACCUGGCGCCCCACCUGGGAAAGCCCACCUGGUGUCCCCCACGGGUCUCUCAUGACCACAUGCAUCGGCGGGGCCUGGGGAGGCCCGGCCCGGGAGCGCUUUGUGCAGGGAGGAGUCCUAGGCCCCGGGCGACGGUGCCGGGUGGGAGACACUCAGAGCAGGGGGUAGACCCUCAACGCAGGACGCCGGGGUCAGGGCUGCUGCCCCAGGGGGUGCACGUGUACAUGGUCCUCGGCUUCUCGUGCCCACUCGAGGAGGCAGUUGGCCACACCUUCCAACUGCCAGCUUCCAAGACAGAGAAGACAGCGUCUGCUGUUUUAAGCCACCAGUCCAGGGGCUAAAUCCAGAUUUCUGUGCCUCAUCUUCCACAUAGGAAUAUAUGCAUGCUUUUGCUAAAUAAAGACAUAGCAUUAUAAGUCUGUAGGUAAUGAGUCAAAUUCAUUGACUUGUGUUAGAAAGAUAGGAUUUUCUUCGUGCAUUUUCUGUGCUGAUGCAGAUAGAAAACCAAGACCACAAAGGGCCCCUCUUGUUUUAAUUGUUUCAUUCCUUUAAACAACAAACACUGGCUGAAACAAACAGAAAAGUAUUUUUUUCAUGAACCAAACAGAAAGGGAUCAGUGCACUUAACUGAUCACCCGUUCCCACCAGCGUAGAGACAGACGCGGGCCUGAGACAGAGAUGUGGGGUGCGGCAUCUGGGUUUUGGGGUUUUCUCUUCUGAGGGAUGAGACAGGAGCCUUCCGAGAAAUGCACCCGGCGAGCCGCCCCAGGCCGCUGUGUCAGCCCUGCCGACUGCCUGAGGUAUGAGCUGAUCUCCGGCAGCUCUGCUUCGCCUGGGCCUCAGCUGCAGGCAGGAACCUCCACCCUCCAGGGUCAGAGUCCUCUCCUUGAGAGCAGCUCAGUCUGUUUUCUGUUGAUAGAACAAAAUAACCAAGGUGGGGUACUUUAUAAUUUGUUUAGCUCACAGUCUUGGAGGCUGGGAGUUCGAAACCAGCUGGCCCCUUCUGUUUGGCCUCUGGCCCCCUUCCCCUGCCGCCCCCACCCUGCAACAGUGUGUCACCAUGCAGCUGCCAGUAGCAUCCUGGCAGACAUAGGAAGCCAGACGGGAGCAGGGCAGACUUGCUCUUUUAUAACAAUCAUUUGCAUAAACCCCACCCAAGGGCACACCUCCAGGGACCUAACCACCUUACACUAGGCUCCUCCUCUUAAAGGGGCCAUCUGUCCCAAGACCUAGGACACACCAGUCAGGAGCUCCAGCCCUUCUGUGUGGAGCCAGCAGAACCCACAUCUUUGAAAAUUCACUCGUGUUCCCCAAACACUUGGGAAUCCUGCCCUCAGACUUGCUGUGGUCCAGUCUCCUUCAUCUCCCCACAGUUGUAAGACCUAGAUCACUCUCUUCCCCUCUGGAGUUUCUCCUCCAGGAACCUAGUGAGAGUUUCAGAGUGAGCACUGCAGAAAAUCCCUAGCACUGUGAGAAAGGAGCCGUUCUGACCACAUGGGAGCUCUGUCUGCCUGGGCCAGUUAGUGCCACACUGAUCGUGGGAAGGGAGACACCAGCUCCAGACCUCCCAAAUACUGUUCCACUGGGGAAUGGGGCCUGAGACACACGUGGGGCAUCCAUCGUCCAGGGCUUGGGCUCACUGGAAGACUGAGACCCACCCACAGGACUGAGGAGAACUUCCUGCAUUCGGCAUAUCACUAAGCACAUCAUGUAGCACCUCAUGGCUGACAAGCAGGAAACAAGUACCAGGCAUACUAAAAGGCAAAAGCAGAGUUUGAAGAGACAGAGCAAGCACCAGAACCAGACUUACAGGGCACUAUGGCUCCCCAAGAUGUGGCACACUGGAGAUUUAAACAGUAUGAUGAGCCCUUGCUGCCAGGCCUCCUGGGUCUCCACAGGCAUAGGACAUUCACAUUUGUAGACACUGAGUUCCAAGGGAGGGGCCGCCUGGGGUGUGCAUAAGCAAGUCUGCCCUGUGAAAGCCUCCUCCACAGCCCAUGCAGAUGCCAGCUGCCUUCGUCAGGGAUGUGAGGCUGCACUUUCUGUUGGCAGGAAGCUGUGACUACUGUGCUGUUGGGAACCAUUAAACCAUUGUUAAUGGGUUCAUUCACUUUUUUAGGUUAAAAGUCAUGGCCAAAAAGAGGACUCUUUUUCUGAGUUGAUCUGGAGGGGAGAAUCAGAAACAAACAAGGAGUUGUAGGAACUUGGGUUUGGGUUCAAGAUAAGGACGGAGUUGGUAAAGGUGGGUGCCUCCCAGCAGUGACCCCCAGGGUCAGAGUGCCCCCGACACAGUGCUGAAGCAGAGGCUUGGCAUCCUUCACAUACCUCCCCACGGGAAGCAGCAGGUCUCACAGCCCGAGGCUGGCAAGUCCAAGGUGAAAGUGCUAGCUACUUCCAGCCCAUGGAUGGUGCACUGUUGCUGUUCUACAUGGCAGAGAAAGACAGAGUAGUAGAAGUGGGAGAUUAAUUUGCUUCAGGGAAUUGGCCCACACUGUUGGGAGGCCAGGCAAGUCUGAUGUCUAUAGGGCAGGCUGGAGGCUGGAAACUCAGGCCAGAGCUGCUGCUGGUUUUUUCCUCUCCAGAAGGCUACUGUUCUGCUCUUAAGGCCUUCACCUGAUAAGAUGAGGCUCGCCACACUGUGGAAGGUCACCUGAUUUACUUAAAGCCAGCUGACUAACCACAGCUACUGAACAUCUCCGCAGAAAUGUUCAGAUGAGGGCUUGAUGCGGGAGUGGGACAGCAGCCUGGCCACAUGGACAUGCAGACUUGGGUAUGCCAGGGAGGUGAGCUUGUCAAGGUGGCAGAAAGCCAAAGCCACGACCACUAGCUUCCUAGGCUUCCUAGAGCUUCCUGGAGAGGACCCUGCUCAAGGCCCAUCACCCAACGUGGACAGGGUGACAUAGCAAUGACACCGAGCACUGGCCAGGCACCAGGAGCUGCUGGCCACCCCAUGAGUAUCAUUAACCCCUUCAGUCAGAAAGCUGGGUCAUCGCAUUUUGCAGAUGCAGAUGCGGUCACAACCAAGGACCCCACAGGGCAGUGACUCACUUGGGGUCACAAGGUAGGCACAGGAGCCAGGACUUAGCCAGGUGCUGUGCCUCUAGAGUCUGCUGCCUCUGCCGUGGCACACGACACUUUAGGAUGUCACUCUCUGACAGACUCGGGGCCGGGAGCGUCGGCAGACUCCAGAUCCUGCCCAUCCCACCCCAGGACGAGGGUGCCUCUCCUUAUCCAGAGCAGGACAUAAGCCCCACCUUAGCCCCCGGAAUAUUUUGGGAAUCCGUGUCUGCUGAACACUUUGGGGAAGCGUGAAAACAGUUUUUCAAAUGCCAGUUUUGGUUUUUUUUAAUCAAUUGUAGGUUUGCCCUUGGGGUAACAAACAUAAAAUCCCAAACUUUCAUCCCACUGGAGCAAAUAAAAAUUACCUUGUUUGGUUUUUUGUUGUUGUUUUUUCUUUUUUGAGACACGGUCUUGCCCAGGCUGGCCUCAGACUCAUGGUGAUCCUCCUGCUUCAGCUUCCGAGGGCUAGGAUUUGCAGGGAUGCACCACCACCCCCGGGUUUCCCCAUUAGGUUUCCAAUAAUUGUGCCGUGGCUUUGGAUUGGAAUCCAGAUGCCACCCAGGGAGACCUGAGACCUAGGACAGGGGUCAGAUGAACUGGGUGCAUCAAAAUGCCCAGGAAAGGUUCGGCCUUUGACCAGGCGCAGCGUGGGCAGCGGCACUGGCUGCUGUGCCUACGAGUGGCAUUGUACAGGCAGAGCCACCCAGUGCUCCGGCUGCCCGGGAACAAGGUGCCCCACAAGCUGGGGAGAGGAGUUCCACCCAGAGCACCUGGACGUCAGGACAGCGGUCCCCACAGGGCAAAGCCCUCAGCUCUGGCCUCAGGCUCUGCAGGUGUCAACUCACUGUGGCCGCCCCAGCAGCCCCUCCAGCUUCGGGUGUCCCGGGCUCCACCCUGCUCUUCUGGCUUCUCAGGCCCAGGCCCGGCCUGCUGGAGGGCGGCUCCGUGCAGCAGCCUGGCCGGAAACGAGAGUCUCCACCGAAUGCACCGCGCCACGGAAACCGCGGUGAAAUUGCUCCCUUCCUUCUAGGGCAGCCCCAGGAGGCCCAGGGACAAGAGGGCAUUGUGUUGGGGGGGACCCCUCCCCGGCACAAAGGGCGUCUUUCACGGCUGCUGACUGCACAGGCGGGUGGGAGCCCCAGGCCUCCUCAUUCCUGGGCUCCUGGCACUGUGCCCCAGGUCAGAGCUGCCGCCCUGGAAGGAGCCAGCUGCAGAGACCCCGGCCCUGGGGCUGGCAGAGCUGUCCUGCUGGCGCUGGUUGGCUGGGACACGGCUGUCACUGCGCUGAGCUGUCCGUCUGGGAAAGUCAUCUGCGUAGGGAAGGGACCGUGUGUGGAUGGCUGUGUUAUGGGGUGAAGGGCUCUGGAAAAGACACAUGGGAGGGGGAGCCCCAUACCCUGGGGGAGCCUGGAGCUCGGAGGACGGGUGGGCGGGCAAAGAACUCAUACCGAGCUUGCGGACGGGACCGUGAACAGGUUGGAUACAAAGCCCUCUCGGUCCUGCAAAAUCUCAGGCUCUACUCAGUCCGGGAGGCCCAGGCAGGCAGGGCUUGAGUGGCGAGUGUGCGUGUGUGUGCUCGUGAGUGUGUCAGGAUGUGAGUGUGUGUGUGUGUGUAUGUGUUGGGGAAGAUCUAAAAAUGUAAUUGCUUUCAGCAGAACACGGCCCACGGUGUAAUUAAAGCGAGGGGGCUGCCGGCUCCUAGAGUUUAAGUGAUUUCAUGUGCAUUUGGUGAUUAUGCCCCUCUCUUGGGAUAAAAGUGCGGCUUCUAUUUUCACAUACAAAAUGGUUCCCAGACCAGGAGGCAGGGACUCAUUCCCUGCCCGCCUGGGCAUGAGGCUGGCCGGGCGGGCCGAGGGGAAGCUGGGCCUCGGUGGGUGCUGGUGAGGGGCCGGGAGAGGAG
Molecule: long non-coding RNA, 14527 nt
Filed under: Heterocephalus glaber (naked mole-rat)
Lineage: Eukaryota; Metazoa; Chordata; Mammalia; Rodentia; Bathyergidae
Description: lncRNA (ENSHGLG00000042995.1)
Source: RNAcentral